RNAcentral lists this long non-coding RNA (232 nucleotides) under Panax ginseng (ginseng). RNAcentral describes it as "long non-coding RNA (PGIN_LNC013438)". Lineage: Eukaryota; Viridiplantae; Streptophyta; Magnoliopsida; Apiales; Araliaceae. The record is from RNAcentral.
UUGUCUAAAGAUCAUUCACUUCUUCAAGAGGAGAAAAAGAAAGUUCAAGAAGAGCUUGAAACAACCCUUCUAAGUACUAAUCUUCUCUCCAAGCUUGAAGCUGAGAAUGAAACUUUAAAAUAGACAAACACACAUCAUGCACAAAGAGAGUCUAAGCUAACCUCUAAAAUUGAGGAUCUAGAGAAGACUAUCUCUGCAUGGAACAGAUCCUCAUCAUCCAUGGACUGCCUAC